Molecule: ribosomal RNA, 1372 nt
Filed under: uncultured bacterium
Lineage: Bacteria
Description: bacterial SSU rRNA
Rfam family: Bacterial small subunit ribosomal RNA
Source: RNAcentral
GAUGAACGCUGGCGGCGUGCCUAAUACAUGCAAGUCGAGCGAACGGACGAGAAGCUUGCUUCUCUGAUGUUAGCGGCGGACGGGUGAGUAACACGCGGAUAACCUACCUAUAAGACUGGGAUAACUUCGGGAAACCAGAGCUAAUACCGGAUAAUAUUUUGAACCGCAUGGUUCAAAAGUGAAAGACGGUCUUGCUGUCACUUAUAGAUGGAUCCGCGCUGCAUUAGCUAGUUGGUAAGGUAACGGCUUACCAAGGCAACGAUGCAUAGCCGACCUGAGAGGGUGAUCGGCCACACUGGAACUGAGACACGGUCCAGACUCCUACGGGAGGCAGCAGUAGGGAAUCUUCCGCAAUGGGCGAAAGCCUGACGGAGCAACGCCGCGUGAGUGAUGAAGGUCUUCGGAUCGUAAAACUCUGUUAUUAGGGAAGAACAUAUGUGUAAGUAACUGUGCACAUCUUGACGGUACCUAAUCAGAAAGCCACGGCUAACUACGUGCCAGCAGCCGCGGUAAUACGUAGGUGGCAAGCGUUAUCCGGAAUUAUUGGGCGUAAAGCGCGCGUAGGCGGUUUUUUAAGUCUGAUGUGAAAGCCCACGGCUCAACCGUGGAGGGUCAUUGGAAACUGGAAAACUUGAGUGCAGAAGAGGAAAGUGGAAUUCCAUGUGUAGCGGUGAAAUGCGCAGAGAUAUGGAGGAACACCAGUGGCGAAGGCGACUUUCUGGUCUGUAACUGACGCUGAUGUGCGAAAGCGUGGGGAUCAAACAGGAUUAGAUACCCUGGUAGUCCACGCCGUAAACGAUGAGUGCUAAGUGUUAGGGGGUUUCCGCCCCUUAGUGCUGCAGCUAACGCAUUAAGCACUCCGCCUGGGGAGUACGACCGCAAGGUUGAAACUCAAAGGAAUUGACGGGGACCCGCACAAGCGGUGGAGCAUGUGGUUUAAUUCGAAGCAACGCGAAGAACCUUACCAAAUCUUGACAUCCUUUGACAACUCUAGAGAUAGAGCCUUCCCCUUCGGGGGACAAAGUGACAGGUGGUGCAUGGUUGUCGUCAGCUCGUGUCGUGAGAUGUUGGGUUAAGUCCCGCAACGAGCGCAACCCUUAAGCUUAGUUGCCAUCAUUAAGUUGGGCACUCUAAGUUGACUGCCGGUGACAAACCGGAGGAAGGUGGGGAUGACGUCAAAUCAUCAUGCCCCUUAUGAUUUGGGCUACACACGUGCUACAAUGGACAAUACAAAGGGCAGCGAAACCGCGAGGUCAAGCAAAUCCCAUAAAGUUGUUCUCAGUUCGGAUUGUAGUCUGCAACUCGACUACAUGAAGCUGGAAUCGCUAGUAAUCGUAGAUCAGCAUGCUACGGUGAAUACGUUCCCGGGUCU